This 497-nucleotide ribosomal RNA is filed under the name uncultured bacterium. RNAcentral describes it as "partial 16S ribosomal RNA". It matches the Rfam family "Bacterial small subunit ribosomal RNA", at positions 28 to 507 of the family's 1533-position model. The record is from RNAcentral.
GAUGAACGCUGGCGGCGUGCCUAAUACAUGCAAGUCGAGCGAACGGACGAGAAGUUUGCUUCUCUGAUGUUAGCGGCGGACGGGUGAGUAACACGUGGAUAACCUACCUAUAAGACUGGUAUAACUUCGGGAAACCGGAGCUAAUACCGGAUAAUAUUUUGAACCGCAUGGUUCAAAAGUGAAAGACGGUCUUUCUGUCACUUAUAGAUGGAUCCGCGCUGCAUUAGCUAGUUGGUAAGGUAACGGCUUACCAAGGCUACGAUGCAUAGCCGACCUGAGAGGGUGAUCGGCCACACUGGAACUGAGACACGGUCCAGACUCCUACGGGAGGCAGCAAUAGGGAAUCUUACGCAAUGGGCGAGAGCCUGACGGAGCGACGCCGCGUGAGUGAUGAAGGUCUUCGGAUCGUAAAACUCUGUUAUUAGGGGAGAACAUAUGUGUAAGUAACUGUGCACAUCUUGACGGUACCUAGUCAGAAAGCCACGGCUAACUACGUG